This 253-nucleotide ribosomal RNA is filed under the name uncultured prokaryote. Its description in RNAcentral is "partial 16S rRNA". It matches the Rfam family "Archaeal small subunit ribosomal RNA", at positions 475 to 726 of the family's 1478-position model. The record is from RNAcentral.
ACCGGUGGCUCGAGUGGUGGCCACUAUUACUGGGCUUAAAGCGUUCGUAGCUGGCUUGUUAAGUCUCUGGGGGAAUUUUUCGGCCCCACCGGGAGGGGGCCUCAGGGAUACUGGCAGGCUAGGGACCGGAAGAGGUGAGAGGUACUCCAGGGGUAGGAGUGAAAUCCUGUAAUCCUUGGGGGACCACCUGUGGCGAAGGCGUCUCACCAGGACGGCUCCGACAGUGAGGAACGAAAGCUGGGGGAGCAAACCG